RNAcentral lists this transfer RNA (74 nucleotides) under Chloroflexota bacterium. RNAcentral's name for it is "tRNA-Glu". It matches the Rfam family "tRNA". Rfam says of the family: Transfer RNA (tRNA) molecules are approximately 80 nucleotides in length. Their secondary structure includes four short double-helical elements and three loops (D, anti-codon, and T loops). Further hydrogen bonds mediate the characteristic L-shaped molecular structure. tRNAs have two regions of fundamental functional importance: the anti-codon, which is responsible for specific mRNA codon recognition, and the 3' end, to which the tRNAs corresponding amino acid is attached (by aminoacyl-tRNA synthetases). tRNAs cope with the degeneracy of the genetic code in two manners: having more than one tRNA (with a specific anti-codon) for a particular amino acid; and 'wobble' base-pairing, i.e. permitting non-standard base-pairing at the 3rd anti-codon position. Lineage: Bacteria; Bacillati; Chloroflexota. The record is from RNAcentral.
GGCCCGGUCGCCUAGCGGUCUAGGGCGUCUCCCUUUCAAGGAGAAGGUCACGGGUUCGAAUCCCGUCCGGGCUA